ACUGAGAGGUUGAACGGCCACAUUGGGACUGAGACACGGCCCAGACUCCUACGGGAGGCAGCAGUGGGGAAUAUUGCACAAUGGGGGAAACCCUGAUGCAGCGACGCCGCGUGGAGGAAGAAGGUCUUCGGAUUGUAAACUCCUGUUGUUGAGGAAGAUAAUGACGGUACUCAACAAGGAAGUGACGGCUAAAUACGUGCCAGCAGCCGCGGUAAU
RNAcentral lists this ribosomal RNA (216 nucleotides) under uncultured bacterium. Its description in RNAcentral is "partial 16S ribosomal RNA". It matches the Rfam family "Bacterial small subunit ribosomal RNA", at positions 291 to 524 of the family's 1533-position model. The record is from RNAcentral.